GAUGAACGCUGGCGGCGUGCCUAAUACAUGCAAGUCGAGCGAACAGAUAAGGAGCUUGCUCCUUUGACGUUAGCGGCGGACGGGUGAGUAACACGUGGGUAACCUACCUAUAAGACUGGGAUAACUUCGGGAAACCGGAGCUAAUACCGGAUAAUAUUUCGAACCGCAUGGUUCGAUAGUGAAAGAUGGUUUUGCUAUCACUUAUAGAUGGACCCGCGCCGCAUUAGCUAGUUGGUAAGGUAACGGCUUACCAAGGCAACGAUACGUAGCCGACCUGAGAGGGUGAUCGGCCACACUGGAACUGAGACACGGUCCAGACUCCUACGGGAGGCAGCAGUAGGGAAUCUUCCGCAAUGGGCGAAAGCCUGACGGAGCAACGCCGCGUGAGUGAUGAAGGUCUUCGGAUCGUAAAACUCUGUUAUUAGGGAAGAACAUACGUGUAAGUAACUGUGCACGUCUUGACGGUACCUAAUCAGAAAGCCACGGCUAACUACGUG
RNAcentral lists this ribosomal RNA (497 nucleotides) under uncultured bacterium. RNAcentral's name for it is "partial 16S ribosomal RNA". It matches the Rfam family "Bacterial small subunit ribosomal RNA", at positions 28 to 507 of the family's 1533-position model. The record is from RNAcentral.